GACGAACGCUGGCGGCGUGCUUAACACAUGCAAGUCGAACGGUGAAGCGCCUUCCUUUUUGGUGGGUGUGGAUGAGUGGCGAACGGGUGAGUAACACGUGAGUAACCUGCCCCCUUCUUCUGGAUAACCGCAUGAAAGUGUGGCUAAUACGGGAUAUUCUGGGUCUGUCGCAUGAUGGGUCUGGGAAAGAUAUUGUUUCGGUGGGGGAUGGGCUCGCGGCCUAUCAGCUUGUUGGUGGGGUGAUGGCCUACCAAGGCGGUGACGGGUAGCCGGCCUGAGAGGGUGGACGGUCACACUGGGAAUGAGACACGGCCCAGACUCCUACGGGAGGCAGCAGGGGGGAAUAUUGCACAAUGGGCGCAAGCCUGAUGCAGCGACGCCGCGUGAGGGAUGGAGGCCUUCGGGUUGUGAACCUCUUUCGCCAGUGAAGCAGGCCUGCCUCGUUUGUGGGUGGGUUGACGGUAGCUGGAGAAGAAGCGCCGGCUAACUACGUG
This 494-nucleotide ribosomal RNA is filed under the name uncultured bacterium. RNAcentral's name for it is "partial 16S ribosomal RNA". It matches the Rfam family "Bacterial small subunit ribosomal RNA", at positions 28 to 507 of the family's 1533-position model. The record is from RNAcentral.